CGGGGGGAGAAAUCACAUCCCCUGAACUCUCAGCUAUGGAAAGGCCUGGCUCUUGGCACAGUUACCGGGUAUUACCAGGCAACAGAGUUGUAAAGCUAGCAGCUCUGCAAACAGCACCUGCAUGAUGAUUUCAGUGUCAGGAAAGCCUCUACACCAGAGCAGCCCCCUUCUUCUGCUUGCUACAGAAAACUGCAACCCAAGAAGCUUCUACUUCUUGUCUUCUGGAACUCUAUCUGGGGUCUCUGAGUUGCUGAAAAGAAGCCUGACUACCCACCUACACAUGCUAGAGAACAUCUAGACACUCCAUUCCCACCAAUGUGUUAAACAUUGAGUGAGCUGUCUUAGACCAUACUUACUCAUUCACCAGAUGAAUUCCACCUAGUGACUUCAGUUUAUAUCACGUGAAGAAGAAAAAUUGCCAACCUGAGCCCUUUCCGAAUUCCUGAUCCAAAAUCAUUAGAUAAAAUAAAAUGCCAGUUGUUUUAA
RNAcentral lists this long non-coding RNA (486 nucleotides) under Homo sapiens (human). RNAcentral describes it as "HSALNT0350880". Lineage: Eukaryota; Metazoa; Chordata; Mammalia; Primates; Hominidae. The record is from RNAcentral.